UGGAGAUAUUUUUUCUCGUCGGUUUACGAUAGUGCAGACGGGGUCAACCAUUUGGGACACGAGUCGUCGUUCUGGGCUCUACGAAAAACAAGUGAAACAGCCUUUGUCCUUUUUCUUCUUUCAACAGUAAACAACAAAAGCUAGACAACUAAUGGCCGGUCUUGUAACGUUUUUAGAGAGCAUUUUCAGAUGAUGUUUUCAUAGAAUGAAAACGUAUUUUUAAGAAAUAAAAAUGUAUCUGGUAUAUU
This 248-nucleotide long non-coding RNA is filed under the name Prunus dulcis (almond). RNAcentral's name for it is "sRNA ncRNA". Lineage: Eukaryota; Viridiplantae; Streptophyta; Magnoliopsida; Rosales; Rosaceae. The record is from RNAcentral.